Molecule: ribosomal RNA, 253 nt
Filed under: uncultured bacterium
Lineage: Bacteria
Description: partial 16S ribosomal RNA
Rfam family: Bacterial small subunit ribosomal RNA
Source: RNAcentral
UACGAAGGGUGCAAGCGUUACUCGGAAUUACUGGGCGUAAAGCGUGCGUAGGUGGUUUGUUAAGUCUGUUGUGAAAGCCCCGGGCUCAACCUGGGAAUGGCAAUGGAUACUGGCAGGCUAGAGUGCGGUAGAGGGUAGUGGAAUUCCCGGUGUAGCGGUGAAAUGCGUAGAGAUCGGGAGGAACACCAGUGGCGAAGGCGGCUACCUGGACCAGCACUGACACUGAGGCACGAAAGCGUGGGGAGCGAUCCGG